RNAcentral lists this ribosomal RNA (460 nucleotides) under uncultured bacterium. Its description in RNAcentral is "partial 16S ribosomal RNA". It matches the Rfam family "Bacterial small subunit ribosomal RNA", at positions 338 to 795 of the family's 1533-position model. The record is from RNAcentral.
CCUACGGGAGGCAGCAGUGAGGAAUAUUGGUCAAUGGACGAGAGUCUGAACCAGCCAAGUAGCGUGAAGGAUGACUGCCCUACGGGUUGUAAACUUCUUUUAUAAGGGAAUAAAACGAGGCACGUGUGCCUUUUUGCAUGUACUUUAUGAAUCAGGUUCGGCUAACUCCGUGCAAGCGGCCGCGGUAAUACGGAGGAUCCGAGCGUUAUCCGGAUUUAGUGGGUUUAAAGGGAGCGUAGAUGGGUUGUUAAGUCAGUUGUGAAAGUUUGCGGCUCAACCGUAAAAUUGCAAUUGAUACUGGCAGUCUUGAGUACAGUUGAGGUAGGCGGAAUUCGUGGUGUAGCGGUGAAAUGCUUAGAUAUCACGAAGAACCCCGAUUGCGAAGGCAGCUUACUAAACUGUGACUGACAUUGAUGCUCGAAAGUGUGGGUAUCAAACAGGAUUAGAUACCCCGGUAGUC